RNAcentral lists this unclassified non-coding RNA (260 nucleotides) under Hevea brasiliensis (rubber tree). Lineage: Eukaryota; Viridiplantae; Streptophyta; Magnoliopsida; Malpighiales; Euphorbiaceae. The record is from RNAcentral.
GGGAAGGAUCAGAAUCAAUUAACAAGCAUCGUUAAGACAACUGUCUAAUUGUAGAGCCCAGAUUUCUUUCACACACUCUGUCGACGCAAACAAUCACUCGAAUCUUCUCUUCCAAAAAUCACUUUCAGCUUAUCCCCAAUUCAAACCCUAAUUUCCCCAAAAUGUCAUUCCUCGACGAAUUCCAAGCCAACCUGGAAUCACUGCCUAAUAUUCUGCAGAAGAAGUAUGCCUUGUUACGUGAUCUAGAUAAAAGUUUGCGG